RNAcentral lists this transfer RNA (78 nucleotides) under Candidatus Aminicenantota bacterium. RNAcentral describes it as "Candidatus Aminicenantes bacterium tRNA-Glu". It matches the Rfam family "tRNA". From Rfam's summary of the family: Transfer RNA (tRNA) molecules are approximately 80 nucleotides in length. Their secondary structure includes four short double-helical elements and three loops (D, anti-codon, and T loops). Further hydrogen bonds mediate the characteristic L-shaped molecular structure. tRNAs have two regions of fundamental functional importance: the anti-codon, which is responsible for specific mRNA codon recognition, and the 3' end, to which the tRNAs corresponding amino acid is attached (by aminoacyl-tRNA synthetases). tRNAs cope with the degeneracy of the genetic code in two manners: having more than one tRNA (with a specific anti-codon) for a particular amino acid; and 'wobble' base-pairing, i.e. permitting non-standard base-pairing at the 3rd anti-codon position. The record is from RNAcentral. RNAcentral also lists the same sequence under 2 other names. Lineage: Bacteria; Candidatus Aminicenantota.
GCUCCUGUCGUCUAGCCUGGCCUAGGACACCGCCCUUUCAAGGCGGCGACACGGGUUCAAAUCCCGUCAGGAGCGCCA